RNAcentral lists this unclassified non-coding RNA (329 nucleotides) under soil metagenome. RNAcentral's name for it is "partial contains 5.8S ribosomal RNA, internal transcribed spacer 2, and large subunit ribosomal RNA". The stretch from base 1 to 120 matches the Rfam family "5.8S ribosomal RNA", at positions 35 to 154 of the family's 154-position model. The record is from RNAcentral.
GAUGAAGAACGUAGCGAAAUGCGAUAAGUAAUGCGAAUUGCAGAAUUCAGUGAGUCAUCGAAUCUUUGAACGCACAUUGCGCCCCCUGGUAUUCCGGGGGGCAUGCCUGUCCGAGCGUCAUUACAACCCUCAAGCUCAGCUUGGUGUUGGGCCCCGCCGCCCCGGCGGGCCCUAAAGUCAGUGGCGGUGCCGUCCGGCUCCGAGCGUAGUAAUUCUUCUCGCUCUGGAGGUCCGGUCGUGUGCUCGCCAGCAACCCCCAAUUUUUUUCAGGUUGACCUCGGAUCAGGUAGGGAUACCCGCUGAACUUAAGCAUAUCAAUAAGCGGAGGA